Molecule: ribosomal RNA, 410 nt
Filed under: uncultured Bacteroidota bacterium
Lineage: Bacteria; Pseudomonadati; Bacteroidota
Description: bacterial SSU rRNA
Rfam family: Bacterial small subunit ribosomal RNA
Source: RNAcentral
GGAUCCAGACUUUGAUUAUGGCUCAGGAUGAACGCUAGCUACAGGCUUAACACAUGCAAGUCGAGGGGCAGCGGGAUUGAAGCUUGCUUCAAUUGCCGGCGACCGGCGCACGGGUGAGUAACGCGUAUCCAACCUUCCGUACACUCAGGGAUAGCCUUUCGAAAGAAAGAUUAAUACCUGAUGGUAUGAUGAGAUUGCAUGAUAGCAUCAUUAAAGAUUUAUCGGUGUACGAUGGGGAUGCGUUCCAUUAGGUAGUAGGCGGGGUAACGGCCCACCUAGCCAACGAUGGAUAGGGGUUCUGAGAGGAAGGUCCCCCACAUUGGAACUGAGACACGGUCCAAACUCCUACGGGAGGCAGCAGUGAGGAAUAUUUGUCAAUGGACGAGAGUCUGAACCAGCCAAGUAGCGUG